GGGGGCAUAGCUCAGUGGUAGAGCAGCAGCCUUUUAAGCUGUUGGUCGAAGGUCCGAAUCCUUCUGCCCUCA
This 72-nucleotide transfer RNA is filed under the name Candidatus Brocadiia bacterium. RNAcentral's name for it is "tRNA-Lys". It matches the Rfam family "tRNA". From Rfam's summary of the family: Transfer RNA (tRNA) molecules are approximately 80 nucleotides in length. Their secondary structure includes four short double-helical elements and three loops (D, anti-codon, and T loops). Further hydrogen bonds mediate the characteristic L-shaped molecular structure. tRNAs have two regions of fundamental functional importance: the anti-codon, which is responsible for specific mRNA codon recognition, and the 3' end, to which the tRNAs corresponding amino acid is attached (by aminoacyl-tRNA synthetases). tRNAs cope with the degeneracy of the genetic code in two manners: having more than one tRNA (with a specific anti-codon) for a particular amino acid; and 'wobble' base-pairing, i.e. permitting non-standard base-pairing at the 3rd anti-codon position. The record is from RNAcentral. Lineage: Bacteria; Pseudomonadati; Planctomycetota; Candidatus Brocadiia.